Molecule: ribosomal RNA, 301 nt
Filed under: uncultured bacterium
Lineage: Bacteria
Description: partial 16S ribosomal RNA
Rfam family: Bacterial small subunit ribosomal RNA
Source: RNAcentral
CAGUCGCCGCGGGAAUACAGAGGGUGCGAGCGUUAAUCGGAUUUACUGGGCGUAAAGCGUGCGUAGGCGGCUUCUUAAGUCGGAUGUGAAAUCCCUGAGCUUAACUUAGGAAUUGCAUUCGAUACUGGGAAGCUAGAGUAUGGGAGAGGAUGGUAGAAUUCCAGGUGUAGCGGUGAAAUGCGUAGAGAUCUGGAGGAAUACCGAUGGCGAAGGCAGCCAUCUGGCCUAAUACUGACGCUGGGGUACGAAAGCAUGGGGAGCAAACAGGAUUAGAGACCCCCGUAGUCCCUGUCUCUUAUAC